This 1760-nucleotide long non-coding RNA is filed under the name Sus scrofa (pig). RNAcentral describes it as "lncRNA (ENSSSCG00005037343.1)". Lineage: Eukaryota; Metazoa; Chordata; Mammalia; Artiodactyla; Suidae. The record is from RNAcentral.
GGGACUCCUUCCACAUGCAGCUGUAGGUGUGGGGUGUCCACGGGAGAAGUUAAUUCUCAUGGGAGAGAUUGUGGAAAAACAGCCACGUAGGAGAACCCAGCUGUUCCUCUGCAAAUAAGCAUGGCAGGAGCUACUUGUGAACAAAAACAGGCCUGGGAGAACGCCAGACGUCCACGUAGAGGUUUUAGCAGCACAGUGGAAGGAAUAAAGAGAUGAAGAAGAAAAAGAAAACAACCUCAUUUGCCUGCAUCAUUUCCAUUCCCCACGCCAGCACUACUGAGCUCUAAGAAGGAGCGUCCCAGCGUGGAAGAGUUUCUUUUGCCGGGUCCGCAAGAGCAGGGUGAGGAACCAUCUUUGCGGGCCUCUUGGAACAGAGUUAGGCUCCAGCUUCUGUUUCACUGCAUCGAGACAGGCAGAGCUAAGAUGUAUAUUUAACCAGCUAGAAACAAGGUAGAAAAAGAGGCUAAGUAGACAUGCAGUGGAGACCGUCACGGUUCAGAGAGUGGCUUUGCAGACAAACACGGCAGAUUCUGUCACUGAUGGAGCCAGUAGUUGGCGCAACCACCACAGGCCCCUCACUCUCCCUGCAACUCUCAGCAGCUUUCCCCCCACAGGUAUUUGCGCUUGGCAACACCAGCCACCUGUUUCCCUCCUUGAGCCGUGCCUUCGACCCUCUCUGCCUUCUGCAACUUUCAGAGUACAAGAUGCCAGCCUAGGCCCCAACAGGUGGCUCACACUAAACCCCCAUUCAGGGCUGGUAGCACCUGUAGCUCUGUACAGCUUUCUGAUGCCCAUCACCAACCUCCAGUGUGGUGCACACGCUUGGAUGGAAAAUACGCAGCCAUGGGUGAGUGUAUUGCCAGCCAGGGCCACUGCAGCACUCUCUGGGCCCAAAUAAGGCUGUGCCUUCAGUCUGGAACCACUGUGCACCUGCAUGCCAACAUCCAGGGUCUCUACCUCUGCCUGAGAGCACAGCUGAAUGCAGCCCAUGAUACUGGCUCUGGCCCCCAUCACUCCAUGUGUGUCUUUAAUGGGGCUCUGCUACUACAGGACCUGCUGCUGGUCCCAAAGCCAAGUGCAUGUUAAGCUAAAUAUAUGACACCCCCCGGACAGAGUGCUACCAAAUGCCACAAUACCACACCCUGCACCACUAGAACUCAGGUCAGGGUCAUUCACCGACAGAUGAAAGGUUUCCCUUACCAAAGCUGGUGCAUCGAGUCUAGAAGAGGUUACUCCUUUUUUCAAAUGCACAAAAACCUAUGCAGAGUUACAAGGAUCACAAAGAAUGAGGGAGAUACAGCUUCUCCAAAGUAAUACAGUAAACCUGCAAUACCUGGCCCCAAAGAAAUCAAAGAUCCAGAAACUACGAGAGAAAGUCUUUUUUUUUUUUUUGGUUGAGCGUACAGCAUGUGGACAUUCCAAGGCCAGGGAUCAAAUACACACCAUAGCAGUGACCCAAGCUACUGCAGUGACAACGCCAGAUCCUUUACCUGCUGUGCCAUAAGAAAACUCCAAGAGAUUUUCUAAAAAUGGAGAGUAUAAACAAUCCAAAGAUACUAGGAAAACCAUACACAAACAAAAUGAAGAGUUCAGCAAAGAUAGAGAAUGUAAAAGAGACACCCCCCCAAAAAAAAAAAUUUUGGAACUAAAGAAUGCUCUAAGUGAAAUAAAGAAUUCAGUAGCUGACUCAAGCAACCAGAAGAAUCAGUGAGCCCAAAGACAGAUCAACUGAAACAGUCCAAUCAGAGGAGAAAAAAAAA